RNAcentral lists this ribosomal RNA (392 nucleotides) under uncultured bacterium. Its description in RNAcentral is "partial 16S ribosomal RNA". It matches the Rfam family "Bacterial small subunit ribosomal RNA", at positions 523 to 918 of the family's 1533-position model. The record is from RNAcentral.
CUACGGAGGAUCCGAGCGUUAUCCGGAUUUAUUGGGUUUAAAGGGUGCGCAGGCGGCCAUUUAAGUCAGCGGUUAAAUCGUGGGGCUCAACCCCAUUCUGCCGUUGAUACUGGGUGGCUUGAUUGCGGUCGAGGUUGGCGGAAUUCGUUGUGUAGCGGUGAAAUGCAUAGAUAUGACGAAGAACACCGAUUGCGUAGGCAGCUGACCAGACCGCAAAUGACGCUCAUGCACGAAAGUGCGGGGAUCGAACAGGAUUAGAUACCCUGGUAGUCCGCACAGUAAACGAUGAAUACUUGUUUUCGGCGAUAUAAUGUCGGAGGCAAAGCGAAAGCGAUAAGUAUUCCCCCUGGGGAGUACGCCGGCAACGGUGAAACUCAAAUGAAUUGGCGGGG